Long non-coding RNA from Herpailurus yagouaroundi (jaguarundi), 1563 nucleotides. RefSeq lists it as uncharacterized. Lineage: Eukaryota; Metazoa; Chordata; Mammalia; Carnivora; Felidae. The record is from RefSeq and is a predicted model, not a curated record. The transcript is spliced from 4 exons.
GCUGGGGAGAAAGAGGCCAAGUCAGCCUGCCAGCUAGGAGAAACAUGGAGUAGGGAUGUAUGGGGAGGGGCGAGAAACUCGCCCGUCUCUGUACAGCUGCCCGACAGACCCCAGAGGACCUUCCUCAUACCAGAGGGAGAGCUGGAGAGAGAGGCCAAGAAAUAGAGACAGGCAGAGUCAGAGACAAGGGGGGAAAGAGAUCAGAGCCAGGUGCCCAUCGAGAUGCCGCCAGUAACACUCACACCUGCUUAGCGCUUUGACUUCUCUGCAAGCCCAUUUCACAGACGGAACACUGAGGCUCACACAGGUCAAGAGAAAAACCCCACAUCUGAUGGCCCAGACCAAAGGGGUGUGGUCAGUUGUCAUGGUUCUCCAAUCCUGACUGGAUGAAGGCAGGAGUUCUUUAUUGAAUGGGUUGUGUGAUGGAUUCUAGAGCCAGAAAACCCGAGUUCAAAUUCUGACAGCCUCUUCCUGCCUUCAGCAAAUCACUAAGCUUCCCGGGACCUCCAUUUGUCCAUCUGCAAAAUGAGCUGUUGCAAAUAAAGUGGUUGAGAGGACUGGACGAGUUAACUUGUGCAAAGCGCUUAGAAUUGUGCCUCGCACACAGGAAGCAUUUUGUGUUUAUGCUGGUGAUGAUGGUGAGGUGCUGUUCUAGUCUCUGGAGAUACUGGAGUCACGGAGUAGGAAAUGAAACCACGUCUGCAUCUGCUCGUGGGCCUGGUAGGGACUGAGUGAGUGGCCUCUCAGUGGCUGGAUGGGCGUGUAACUGCAUACCUGGGGUGUCUGUUUUGCAUGUGAAAUAGAAUAUUUCUGUGUUGUCAGUAAGGGUGAUUGAUUGUGUGCCUAUGUUUAUGUUUGUGUUUGUAGGUGACUCUGCGUGGUGCCUGUGAUUCUCUGACUGUGUGGGUGCAAAUGAAGGUCACACUGAGCAGGCGGGCCUGACUUGAAGGACGCUAGCUGUGAUAAGCCCUCCUUGACGUCAAUCACCAUCCUCCAGCCAUUAGACGCUUCGCCUUCUACCUCCCUGGGCCACUCAAGGCACGUUCCGCGGCAGGCGGGGCCCACAGACAAAGUCGGACAGCGAUAGGCUCUGGGAGACGCCAGUCUCUGCGAGUCUCUGCCAGUCUGCCAAUAGGACGGGCAGCUGCGGGGUGGGAUUCCCACGGCGCACCGCAGAGGCCGGAACUGCUCGCGAGGGAAACAGGUUCGGCGUGUCCAGGCGGAACAAAACCAAACCGACGGGCGAGGUAGGGCCAGGCCCCCGCCCUGCGUCGGUCACAGCAGCAGUAGAAGGCAAUGAUGGAGUGCAGCUCUGGCUGUCUACGGAGACUGGUUUGUGUGCCCCCUCCCCCGCCCCCCUGGCCAGGGUCUCAGCUUGCGGCCCCGCCUCCCCUCUCCCCACCCCCCAGCCGUCCCCCCACCUUAAGGCACAGCCUGCCCCUCCCGCCCACCCCCACCGGAGGGAGGGCCGAAUGGGCCAGAAGCCCCUCGCGGGGGUCCCCGCCGCCUAACGGGGGGGGGGGGGGGGAGGGGGGUAUUCACCACGGAGGCCGGCUUAGAUGG